Molecule: ribosomal RNA, 395 nt
Filed under: uncultured Fusobacteriota bacterium
Lineage: Bacteria; Fusobacteriati; Fusobacteriota
Description: bacterial SSU rRNA
Rfam family: Bacterial small subunit ribosomal RNA
Source: RNAcentral
AAUGGACCAAAAGUCUGAUCCAGCAAUUCUGUGUGCACGAUGAAGGUCUUCGGAUUGUAAAGUGCUUUCAGGUGGGAAGAAGAAAGUGACGGUACCACCAGAAGAAGCGACGGCUAAAUACGUGCCAGCAGCCGCGGUAAUACGUAUGUCGCAAGCGUUAUCCGGAAUUAUUGGGCGUAAAGCGAGUCUAGGCGGCUUGUUAAGUCAGAUGUGAAAAUGCGGGGCUCAACUCCGUAUUGCGUUUGGAACUGGCAGGCUAGAGUACUGGAGAGGUGGGCGGAACUACAAGUGUAGAGGUGAAAUUCGUAGAUAUUUGUAGGAAUGCCGAUAGUGAAGACAGCUCACUGGACAGAUACUGACGCUAAAGCUCGAAAGCGUGGGGAGCGAACAGGAUU